AGAGUUUGAUCAUGGCUCAGGACGAACGCUGGCGGCGUGCUUAACACAUGCAAGUCGAACGAUGAAGCCCAGCUUGCUGGGUGGAUUAGUGGCGAACGGGUGAGUAACACGUGGGUGAUCUGCCCUGCACUCUGGGAUAAGCCUGGGAAACUGGGUCUAAUACCGGAUAGGACCUUCGGCCGCAUGGCUGGGGGUGGAAAGUUUUUCGGUGCAGGAUGAGCCCGCGGCCUAUCAGCUUGUUGGUGGGGUAAUGGCCUACCAAGGCGACGACGGGUAGCCGGCCUGAGAGGGCGACCGGCCACACUGGGACUGAGACACGGCCCAGACUCCUACGGGAGGCAGCAGUGGGGAAUAUUGCACAAUGGGCGCAAGCCUGAUGCAGCGACGCCGCGUGAGGGAUGACGGCCUUCGGGUUGUAAACCUCUUUCACCCAUGACGAAGCGCAAGUGACGGUAGUGGGAGAAGAAGCACCGGCCAACUACGUGCCAGCAGCCGCGGUAAUACGUAGGGUGCGAGCGUUGUCCGGAAUUACUGGGCGUAAAGAGCUCGUAGGCGGUUUGUCGCGUCGUCUGUGAAAUCCCGCAGCUCAACUGCGGGCUUGCAGGCGAUACGGGCAGACUCGAGUACUGCAGGGGAGACUGGAAUUCCUGGUGUAGCGGUGAAAUGCGCAGAUAUCAGGAGGAACACCGGUGGCGAAGGCGGGUCUCUGGGCAGUAACUGACGCUGAGGAGCGAAAGCGUGGGUAGCGAACAGGAUUAGAUACCCUGGUAGUCCACGCCGUAAACGGUGGGCGCUAGGUGUGGGUUUCCUUCCACGGGAUCCGUGCCGUAGCCAACGCAUUAAGCGCCCCGCCUGGGGAGUACGGCCGCAAGGCUAAAACUCAAAGGAAUUGACGG
This 896-nucleotide ribosomal RNA is filed under the name uncultured bacterium. RNAcentral's name for it is "bacterial SSU rRNA". It matches the Rfam family "Bacterial small subunit ribosomal RNA", at positions 8 to 916 of the family's 1533-position model. The record is from RNAcentral.